RNAcentral lists this ribosomal RNA (253 nucleotides) under uncultured bacterium. RNAcentral's name for it is "partial 16S ribosomal RNA". It matches the Rfam family "Bacterial small subunit ribosomal RNA", at positions 524 to 775 of the family's 1533-position model. The record is from RNAcentral.
UACGUAGGGUGCGAGCGUUUGUCCGGAAUUAUUGGGCGUAAAGAGCUUGUAGGCGGUUUGUCGCGUCUGCCGUGAAAAUUCGAGGCUCAACCUCGAACUUGCGGUGGGUACGGGCAGACUAGAGUGUGGUAGGGGAGACUGGAAUUCCUGGUGUAGAGGUGAAAUUCGUAGAUAUUCGGAAGAACACCAGUGGCGAAGGCGACUUACUGGACACAUAUUGACGCUGAGGUGCGAAAGCGUGGGGAGCAACAGG